This is a small nucleolar RNA of Petromyzon marinus (sea lamprey), 124 nucleotides long. RefSeq annotates it as small nucleolar RNA U109. NCBI's taxonomy places the organism in Eukaryota, Metazoa, Chordata, Hyperoartia, Petromyzontiformes, Petromyzontidae. The record is from RefSeq and is a predicted model, not a curated record.
GUGUAGUAGUAGCUACUACUACUACAUGUGUAGUAGUAGUAGCUACUACUACUACACAUGUAGUAGCUACUACUACUACACAUGUAGUAGUACACAUGUAGUAGUAGUAGCUACUACUACAUGU